UAUGUUUUAGUUGAAAAUGUGCUUGGUGA
This 29-nucleotide non-coding RNA is filed under the name Rattus norvegicus (Norway rat). The record is from RNAcentral. Lineage: Eukaryota; Metazoa; Chordata; Mammalia; Rodentia; Muridae.